AUUGAACGCUGGCGGCAGGCCUAACACAUGCAAGUCGAACGGUAACAGGAAGAAGCUUGCUUCUUUGCUGACGCGUGGCGGACGGGUGAGUAAUGUCUGGGAAACUGCCUGAUGGAGGGGGAUAACUCCUGGAAACGGUAGCUCAUACCGCAUAACGUCGCAAGACCAAAGAGCGGGACCUUCGGGCCCCUUGCCCUCGGAUGUGCCCAGAUGGGAUUAGCUAGAAGGUGGGGUAACGGCUCACCUAGGCGACGAUCCCUAGCUGGUCUGAGAGGAUGACCAGCCACACUGGAACUGAGACACGGUCCAGACUCCUACGGGAGGCAGCAGUGGGGAAUAUUGCACAAUGGGCGCAAGCCUGAUGCAGCCAUGCCGCGUGUAUGAAGAAGGCCUUCGGGUUGUAAAGUACUUUCGGCGGGGAGGAAGGGAGGAAAGUUAAUACCUUUGCUCAUUGACGUUACCCGCAGAAGAAGCACCGGCUAACUCCGUG
Molecule: ribosomal RNA, 490 nt
Filed under: uncultured bacterium
Lineage: Bacteria
Description: partial 16S ribosomal RNA
Rfam family: Bacterial small subunit ribosomal RNA
Source: RNAcentral